This 491-nucleotide ribosomal RNA is filed under the name uncultured bacterium. Its description in RNAcentral is "partial 16S ribosomal RNA". It matches the Rfam family "Bacterial small subunit ribosomal RNA", at positions 29 to 507 of the family's 1533-position model. The record is from RNAcentral.
GUGAACGCUGGCGGUCGGCCUAACACAUGCAAGUCGAACGGCAGCACCGUAAGAGCUUGCUCUUACGGGUGGCGAGUGGCGGACGGGUGAGGAAUACAUCGGAAUCUACUUUUUCGUGGGGGAUAACGUAGGGAAACUUACGCUAAUACCGCAUACGACCUACGGGUGAAAGCAGGGGAUCUUCGGACCUUGCGCGAUUGAAUGAGCCGAUGUCGGAUUAGCUAGUUGGCGGGGUAAAGGCCCACCAAGGCGACGAUCCGUAGCUGGUCUGAGAGGAUGAUCAGCCACACUGGAACUGAGACACGGUCCAGACUCCUACGGGAGGCAGCAGUGGGGAAUAUUGGACAAUGGGCGCAAGCCUGAUCCAGCCAUACCGCGUGAGUGAAGAAGGCCUUCGGGUUGUAAAGCCCUUUUGUUGGGAAAGAAAAGCAGCAGGUUAAUACCCCGCUGUUCUGACGGUACCCAAAGAAUAAGCACCGGCUAACUUCGUG